AAGUCGUAACAAGGUUUCCGUAGGUGAACCUGCGGAAGGAUCAUUAACACGUAUCCAAACGUUAAAACCCCCCCGUGAACCUUUAUUAGUGCGCCCCGUUGGGUACCUGAGUCGUAGUGUGUGGUAAAUCAUGGGUAGAGUUGGGAGUUCUUCUCAACAGGCUACAUUAUUGAUUCAGUGACUACGAUUGGCUGGCGGAAAUGCGAGCUAUAUGUCGGCUGCGGCCCAAGCAAUAACUUGUCUGAAAGUGUCAUUUAUUGUGUAAGUCGGCGCUUUUGCGUGCACUGGAGGCCGAACACCGGCCGGUGACAGUCCCGGGGCCUUGUGCUCCCCUACCACAUGAAUUACGACCUCGGUGGUGCGAGGGCCAAGUGGCCUGCCGCACCGAACGCACAACUGUUAACAAUGGAUAUCUUGGUUCUC
RNAcentral lists this unclassified non-coding RNA (423 nucleotides) under fungal sp. RNAcentral describes it as "partial internal transcribed spacer region". The stretch from base 1 to 46 matches the Rfam family "Eukaryotic small subunit ribosomal RNA", at positions 1786 to 1831 of the family's 1831-position model. Lineage: Eukaryota; Fungi. The record is from RNAcentral.